This 594-nucleotide ribosomal RNA is filed under the name Ascomycota sp. CC 15-06. RNAcentral's name for it is "eukaryotic LSU rRNA". The stretch from base 234 to 387 matches the Rfam family "5.8S ribosomal RNA". The record is from RNAcentral. Lineage: Eukaryota; Fungi; Ascomycota.
UGGUCAUUUAGAGGAAGUAAAAGUCGUAACAAGGCUCCGUAGGUGAACCUGCGGAGGGAUCAUUACCGAGUUCAUGCCCUGACGGGUAGACCUCCCACCCUAUGUUAUAUUACCUUUGUUGCUUUGGCGGGCCGCCCGGCUUCGGCCAGGCUACCGGCUCCAGCUGGUAAGCGCUCGCCAGAGGACCCCCAACUCUGAAUAUCAGUGUCGUCCGAGUACUAUAAAAUAGUUAAAACUUUCAACAACGGAUCUCUUGGUUCUGGCAUCGAUGAAGAACGCAGCGAAAUGCGAUAAGUAAUGUGAAUUGCAGAAUUCAGUGAAUCAUCGAAUCUUUGAACGCACAUUGCGCCCCUUGGUAUUCCGAGGGGCAUGCCUGUUCGAGCGUCAUUACAACCCUCAAGCACUGCUUGGUAUUGGGCUCCGCUGGCUCCAGCGGGCCUUAAAAUCAGUGGCGGCGCCGUUUGGGCUCUGAGCGUAGUAAAUAUCCUCGCUAUAGAGACCAGGCGGUUCUUGUCAUCAACCCCCAACUUUCUAAGUUUGACCUCGGAUCAGGUAGGGAUACCCGCUGAACUUAAGCAUAUCAAUAAGCGGAGG